RNAcentral lists this ribosomal RNA (346 nucleotides) under Clostridioides difficile. Its description in RNAcentral is "bacterial SSU rRNA". It matches the Rfam family "Bacterial small subunit ribosomal RNA", at positions 854 to 1199 of the family's 1533-position model. Lineage: Bacteria; Bacillati; Bacillota; Clostridia; Peptostreptococcales; Peptostreptococcaceae. The record is from RNAcentral.
AACGCAUUAACUACUCCGCCGGGGAAGGACGUGCGAAAAAGUGAAACUCAAAGGACUUGACCGGGACCCGCACAAGUAGCUGGGCAUGAGGUUUAACUCAAAGCAACGCGAAGAACCAUACCUAAGCGUGAAAUCCCGAUGACAUCACCUCAAUCCGAAAAUUCCCUUCGGGGACAUUGGGGACAGGUGGUGCAUAGUUGUCGUCAGCUCGUGUCGUGAGAUGUUGGGUUAAGUCCCGCAACGAGCCCAAGCCUUGUCUUUAGUUGCCAUCAUUAAGUUGGGCACUCUAGAGAGACUGCCAGGGAUAACCUGGAGGAAGGUGGGGAUGACGUCAAAUCAUCAUGCC